UAUUGCUGCCUGAGUUAUAACAGCUGCCCUGGGAAUCUUGUCUGAACAACAAGUUAACUGCUGUUCCCAGUUAUAUCUGGUCUUUCCCACCCCCAAACAUACACAAAAGAUUUUUGUCAUUCUUGGCACUGGACAACAGAAGUGAUAAGACAUGCCAGCAGAACUCUAAAGGCAGAAUGUCCUUCCACCUGUUUUAUGCUGUAAGACAAACUUCCAAGUGCGAGGCAGUGUGGAGGGCUGUUGCCUUGAAUGGCAGCUGAAUGCACCAGCGGGAUCCUUGGCAGCAAUGCCCAGGCACUGAAGUCGGGCAUUCAGGAGAGCUAAAUGGAGAAAAGAAACUUGAGCAAACUGCUUCCUGGAACACUGAGAACCUGAAUGGGAAAUUAAGAAGAACCAGAUUCUUUCUAUUCUUCCACCAGCCAAGCAACUUCAGGAUGGGGGAAUCAAGCAAAACCAUGGUGAAGAGAUUCAUUUAAAGAGGACAAGUGAUUUAUUCUACAUCUCAGGAGACAGUUCCUUAAGGUGAUGAGCACAAAAGGAUCCAUCUUAUACAGUGCUUGCCAGCUUCCAUA
This 572-nucleotide long non-coding RNA is filed under the name Homo sapiens (human). Its description in RNAcentral is "non-protein coding lnc-SEPT7-1:3". The record is from RNAcentral. Lineage: Eukaryota; Metazoa; Chordata; Mammalia; Primates; Hominidae.